Molecule: ribosomal RNA, 373 nt
Filed under: uncultured organism
Description: bacterial SSU rRNA
Rfam family: Bacterial small subunit ribosomal RNA
Source: RNAcentral
CGAGAGGGUGCAAGCGUUAAUCGGAAUUACUGGGCGUAAAGCGUGCGUAGUCGGUUAUCUAAGUCGGAUGUGAAAUCCCCGGGCUCAACCUGGGAAUUGCAUUCGAUACUGGGUAGCUAGAGUUCGGCAGAGGGAAGCGGGAAUUUCUGGUGUAGCGGUGAAAUGCGUAGAUAUCAGAAGGAACAUCAGUGGCGAAAGCGGCUUCCUGGACCAGAACUGACGAUCAGGCACGAAAGCGUGGGGAGCAAACAGGAUUAGAUACCCUGGUAGUCCACGCCAUAAACGAUGACAACUAGACGUUGGGGACGUAUGGUCCACAGUGUCGCAGCUAACGCGUUAAGUUGUCCGCCUGGGGAGUACGGCCGCAAGGUUG